AGUGAACGCUGGCGGUAGGCCUAACACAUGCAAGUCGAACGGCAGCACAGUAAGAGCUUGCUCUUACGGGUGGCGAGUGGCGGACGGGUGAGGAAUACAUCGGAAUCUACUUUUUCGUGGGGGAUAACGUAGGGAAACUUACGCUAAUACCGCAUACGACCUACGGGUGAAAGCAGGGGAUCUUCGGACCUUGCGCGAUUGAAUGAGCCGAUGUCGGAUUAGCUAGUUGGCGGGGUAAAGGCCCACCAAGGCGACGAUCCGUAGCUGGUCUGAGAGGAUGAUCAGCCACACUGGAACUGAGACACGGUCCAGACUCCUACGGGAGGCAGCAGUGGGGAAUAUUGGACAAUGGGCGCAAGCCUGAUCCAGCCAUACCGCGUGGGUGAGGAAGGCCUUCGGGUUGUAAAGCCCUUUUGUUGAGAAAGAAAAGCAGCAGGUUAAUACCCCGCUGUUCUGACGGUACCCAAAGAAUAAGCACCGGCUAACUUCGUG
RNAcentral lists this ribosomal RNA (492 nucleotides) under uncultured bacterium. RNAcentral describes it as "partial 16S ribosomal RNA". It matches the Rfam family "Bacterial small subunit ribosomal RNA", at positions 29 to 507 of the family's 1533-position model. The record is from RNAcentral.